This 74-nucleotide transfer RNA is filed under the name Streptomyces phage BRock. Its description in RNAcentral is "tRNA-Ala". It matches the Rfam family "tRNA". Rfam says of the family: Transfer RNA (tRNA) molecules are approximately 80 nucleotides in length. Their secondary structure includes four short double-helical elements and three loops (D, anti-codon, and T loops). The record is from RNAcentral. Lineage: Duplodnaviria; Heunggongvirae; Uroviricota; Caudoviricetes.
GGGCCCAUAGCUCCAACGGUAGAGCAACACCCUUGCAAGGUGAAGGUUGUCGGUUCGAAUCCGACUGGGUCCAC